Molecule: long non-coding RNA, 513 nt
Organism: Mus musculus (house mouse)
Lineage: Eukaryota; Metazoa; Chordata; Mammalia; Rodentia; Muridae
Product: predicted gene, 30138
Exons: 4
Source: RefSeq, a predicted model, not a curated record
UUGGAUCCUAUCUGAGUUAUAUCUUAGCCUUCCUUGAGACAUCUCAGCUUUCAUAAUUACAUAUAACAAUACAAAGAAAUGGUGAAGUGUUGUUUCACUGAACUGGAUGUACAGGGCAGAUAAUGACUACUGGACACUCUGUGAUCCUCACAAGUGGAGUGAGAGGCUUACUGUGAAGGCUUAAGACGUUCUAAGAACUUUUAUAAAGGUACAAAUGCAGCCUGCCAGCAACUCAACUGCUUCUUCCAGAUGCACUUGUGUCCAGUGAAUGAGACAGUGAACUCAUCUGUCGUGUAGCUACUUACUAAGAAUUGAAAUGUCCUUCUGGAGAGAGGGAAACUCAUAAAGCUCAAAAGGAACAUGAAAUUAAGCAAGUAAAACGUGUCUUCCAAAUAGCUGCAUGUAGACAUAUGUGAGGAUCAAAGAUUGAAAGAGCAACACACUGCACCCAAAGAUGAUCUCUUCACUACAGUGUUUGUGAAUCUACAGCCACAGUCUCUUUCCUCAAAUAUA